Molecule: long non-coding RNA, 681 nt
Organism: Salvia splendens (bonfire salvia)
Lineage: Eukaryota; Viridiplantae; Streptophyta; Magnoliopsida; Lamiales; Lamiaceae
Exons: 4
Source: RefSeq, a predicted model, not a curated record
AAAAAAAAGGAAGCGCCGGUUUACCAGAAGUCCAGAACUGACUAUUGGUUUUACUUUACCUUCCAAAUUUCUAAAAGCCCUAAUCCUGUCUUUCCGUUGGACUGUUUGGUCUCCUGUAAAGGCGUUCAAUGUCUUCGAACUCAUCAUCCUCCGAUUAUCUUCAGAAGCAGGUGAGAAGUCACGAGGUUGCUGUGGCGGAGCUCAAUGGCCUUUCUUCCUCUCGGGUUGUCUAUCAAAGAAAUGGAAACAUAUUUUUCCGAACAACCAUUCAGAAAGCAACUGCAUUUGAACAAAAACAAUUGGAUGCAGCAAAAGCUAGGCUCCAAAAGCUGAGUUGAUCAAAUCCAGCCUUGACUUUGUGGUGCAGCGUUCAGACUAAGAGAGGCCGACUUACAACUGAAAUCCGACAGGACUAAUGCUAUGCAUCCCUAUGUAGUCUUGAUAACAUUUCAGUACCCGAGUUGUAGGUUACAGUGUGGUGGAGUACUUCGUAUUUUCUUUAUUCGAUCAUCAGUGGGUAAAACAUCUAAAUCUAAUAGCAGUUGUUAGAAAAUAGGAAAGAUGAUCACUUUUGCAGAUCACUGGGAAUAUGUCUCAAUCAAUUAUCAGUGUGUGGUUACUUUGUAGUUUGUAAGUUUGCAAAUAAUAAUUCACUUUCUAAUGCAUCAGUUUCGUGAAUCA